UUCGAAUCCUGCACGACCCACCAAUUUCAGCAUUUAACUCAGAUGCUGAACGUGAAGGAUAACGUUGCGACAGCAACGGCCCGAAGGGCGAGGCGAAGUCGAGUCAUCCUGCACGACUCACCA
This 123-nucleotide small RNA is filed under the name Klebsiella pneumoniae. RNAcentral describes it as "partial RtT sRNA". It matches the Rfam family "RtT RNA", at positions 42 to 130 of the family's 130-position model. Rfam says of the family: This family represents a bacterial cis-regulatory element known as RtT RNA. The exact function of RtT is unknown although it is thought that it may be involved in changing the cellular response in relation to amino acid starvation. The record is from RNAcentral. Lineage: Bacteria; Pseudomonadati; Pseudomonadota; Gammaproteobacteria; Enterobacterales; Enterobacteriaceae.